Molecule: ribosomal RNA, 764 nt
Filed under: uncultured Streptococcus sp.
Lineage: Bacteria; Bacillati; Bacillota; Bacilli; Lactobacillales; Streptococcaceae
Description: bacterial SSU rRNA
Rfam family: Bacterial small subunit ribosomal RNA
Source: RNAcentral
GACGAACGCUGGCGGCGUGCCUAAUACAUGCAAGUAGAACGCUGAAGGAGGAGCUUGCUUCUCUGGAUGAGUUGCGAACGGGUGAGUAACGCGUAGGUAACCUGCCUGGUAGCGGGGGAUAACUAUUGGAAACGAUAGCUAAUACCGCAUAAGAGUAGAUGUUGCAUGACAUUUGCUUAAAAGGUGCAAUUGCAUCACUACCAGAUGGACCUGCGUUGUAUUAGCUAGUUGGUGAGGUAACGGCUCACCAAGGCGACGAUACAUAGCCGACCUGAGAGGGUGAUCGGCCACACUGGGACUGAGACACGGCCCAGACUCCUACGGGAGGCAGCAGUAGGGAAUCUUCGGCAAUGGACGGAAGUCUGACCGAGCAACGCCGCGUGAGUGAAGAAGGUUUUCGGAUCGUAAAGCUCUGUUGUAAGAGAAGAACGAGUGUGAGAGUGGAAAGUUCACACUGUGACGGUAUCUUACCGGAAAGGGACGGCUAACUACGUGCCAGCAGCCGCGGUAAUACGUAGGUCCCGAGCGUUGUCCGGAUUUAUUGGGCGUAAAGCGAGCGCAGGCGGUUAGAUAAGUCUGAAGUUAAAGGCUGUGGCUUAACCAUAGUACGCUUUGGAAACUGUUUAACUUGAGUGCAAGAGGGGAGAGUGGAAUUCCAUGUGUAGCGGUGAAAUGCGUAGAUAUAUGGAGGAACACCGGUGGCGAAAGCGGCUCUCUGGGCUUGUAACUGACGCUGAGGCUCGAAAGCGUGGGGAGCAAACAGG